This 767-nucleotide long non-coding RNA is filed under the name Phascolarctos cinereus (koala). Its description in RNAcentral is "lncRNA (ENSPCIG00000037403.1)". Lineage: Eukaryota; Metazoa; Chordata; Mammalia; Diprotodontia; Phascolarctidae. The record is from RNAcentral.
AGGUCUUAGGAAUUAAUAUGAGGCUGAUGGUUGUCCUUUGAGGUCCAUAUUUGGAGACAAAUGGCACUAUUCAUUGUCCAGUGUGAAUGAUGACACUGGAGAUGAAUGUGCUAUGUAUAAUAAUGACCAGCAUCUGUGAUUCAUGGAUUAGUUUGGCAAAACCGGUAAAUGUGGCAUGGAAACUUACAAGGUGAAGGAACAGAGUUCUCACAUCUUCUACUCUGCCCAGAUUACAUUGGGAUUGUUGUACUGGUUUUCAACAUUUUUGCAAGGACACAGGAAUUGAAAAGUGCCCGGAAGGAUCCACAAGCGGAAGAGGAAUUCUGAGCUGCAAUGGGGAAAAAUAAGAGAAAUGAAUGGACAUUUCAGGGCAAUAACUUACAGCUCAACGAAGAACCUUCCAAUGUCAUGUCUGUCCAAAACCAGAGCAGGCUGUCUUGUGAACUAAUGAGUUCUUUGUCACUGAAUAUUUUCAUGUGGAAGUGAGAUGGUCCUCAAGGAUCCUACGGAAAGGUGUCCUGGAUUCAGUAGGGGUUUGUAUGAGAUGGGCUCCAACUUGUCUUUCCAGCUUCAAGGCUCCAUAAUUCUAAGUGGAAAAAUAGGAAGUGGCGAUGCUAAUUUUAGGAUUGAUAGAUGAAUGAGAAGCUCCACCUCAGAAUUUCUCUUUUCAGGCAUCCUAACGUGUCCCCAGAAAGUUUCUAGUCAAAUUGUCUUACAGAGAUAAAAUGGAGAAUAAAAUUGAGCAAGUGGGUUUUCCUUGGAUUUGC